GGGCCCGCACAAGCGGUGGAGCAUGUGGUUUAAUUCGAUGAUACGCGAGGAACCUUACCAGGGCUUAAAUGUAAGUUGCAUAAGUUAGAGAUAGCUUUUUCUUCGGACUACUUACAAGGUGCUGCAUGGUUGUCGUCAGCUCGUGCCGUGAGGUGUCAGGUUAAGUCCUAUAACGAGCGCAACCCCUGUUGUUAGUUGCCAUCGAGUAAUGUCGGGAACUCUAGCGAAACUGCCGGUGCAAACCGAGAGGAAGGUGGGGAUGACGUCAAAUCAUCACGGCCCUUACGUUCUGGCUACACACGUGCUACAAUGGUCGGUACAGAAAGCAGCCACUAUGCGAAUAGGAG
This 347-nucleotide ribosomal RNA is filed under the name uncultured bacterium. RNAcentral's name for it is "bacterial SSU rRNA". It matches the Rfam family "Bacterial small subunit ribosomal RNA", at positions 917 to 1267 of the family's 1533-position model. The record is from RNAcentral.